GUCCUCAUAGCUCAACUGGAUAGAGCGUCAGCUUGCGGAGCUGAAGGUUGGAGGUUCAAGUCCUCCUGGGGACA
This 74-nucleotide transfer RNA is filed under the name Candidatus Kuenenbacteria bacterium CG1_02_38_13. RNAcentral's name for it is "tRNA-Arg". It matches the Rfam family "tRNA". From Rfam's summary of the family: Transfer RNA (tRNA) molecules are approximately 80 nucleotides in length. Their secondary structure includes four short double-helical elements and three loops (D, anti-codon, and T loops). RNAcentral also lists the same sequence under 2 other names. Lineage: Bacteria; Candidatus Kueneniibacteriota. The record is from RNAcentral.